CAGCCGCCGCGGGAAUACAGAGGUCUCAAGCGUUGUUCGGAUCCAUUGGGCGUAAAGGGUGCGUAGGUGGCUUGGUAAGUUGAAGGUGAAAUCUCGGGGCUUAACUCCGAAACUGCCUUCAAUACUGCUGAGCUCGAGGAUUGUAGAGGAGAAUGGAAUUCACGGUGUAGCAGUGAAAUGCGUAGAUAUCGUGAGGAAGACCAGUGGCGAAGGCGAUUCUCUGGGCAAUUCCUGACACUGAGGCACGAAGGCCAGGGGAGCAAACGGGAUUAGAUACCCCUGUAGUCCCUGUCUCUUAUAC
RNAcentral lists this ribosomal RNA (301 nucleotides) under uncultured bacterium. Its description in RNAcentral is "partial 16S ribosomal RNA". It matches the Rfam family "Bacterial small subunit ribosomal RNA", at positions 509 to 807 of the family's 1533-position model. The record is from RNAcentral.